CCGGUCCCUGCCCCCUUUGUGACCUCAUACAAAGGCUUGGCUAGUAAUGCAAAGUUUGGGAUCCACAGGCUACAAAACCCCACAGCUCCUAAGAAUUCUCUAACCUGCCUUCUGCUCUUAAGCUCCGGUAGAUUGCAAAUAACCUGCUUUCUUUCUGUUCCCCAGCUGCGUUCGGACCCCUGUCGGAUAGGAAAUCCCAAGUAAGGUACCUGCCAUCGGCAGAUUUGAGCUUUCUUCUUGGACACCUGAUACCCACAGUCCUCCAGGGCUCCGGUAGAUUGCAAAUAACCUGCUUUCUUUCUGUUCCCGGGCUGCCUUCGGAACCCUGUGGGAGAGUAAAUCCCUAGUAAGGUACCUGCCGUUGACAGAUUUGAGCUUUCUUCUUGGACACCUAAUACCCACAGUCCUCCAGGUGGGU
RNAcentral lists this long non-coding RNA (418 nucleotides) under Homo sapiens (human). RNAcentral's name for it is "non-protein coding lnc-SPRY2-3:2". The record is from RNAcentral. Lineage: Eukaryota; Metazoa; Chordata; Mammalia; Primates; Hominidae.